GAUUGGCAACCUGAGGACUUCUAAGCCUAAGGUCGUAGGUUCGAAUCCUACUCGGGGCGCCA
Molecule: transfer RNA, 62 nt
Filed under: Caudoviricetes sp.
Lineage: Duplodnaviria; Heunggongvirae; Uroviricota; Caudoviricetes
Description: tRNA-OTHER
Source: RNAcentral